CACGCAGGCGGUUGUGCAAGUCUGAUGUGAAAUCUCCGGGCUUAACUCGGAAUCCGCGUUGGAAACUGUGCGACUAGAGUAUUAGAGGGGGAGUCGGAAUUCCUAGUGUAGGGGUGAAAUCUGUUGAUAUUAGGAAGAACACCGGUGGCGAAGGCGGACUCCUGGCUGAAUACUGACGCUGAGGUGCGAAAGCAUAGGGAGCAAACAGGAUUAGAUACCCUGGUAGUCUAUGCUGUAAACGAUGUGCACUUGGUGUUGGGCCGAUUAGGUUCAGUGCCGUAGCUAACGCGAUAAGUGCACCGCCUGGGGAGUAUGCCCGCAAGGGUGAA
This 329-nucleotide ribosomal RNA is filed under the name uncultured bacterium. RNAcentral describes it as "bacterial SSU rRNA". It matches the Rfam family "Bacterial small subunit ribosomal RNA", at positions 568 to 898 of the family's 1533-position model. The record is from RNAcentral.